UGGGGAAUAUUGGGCAAUGGGCGCAAGCCUGACCCAGCAACGCCGCGUGAGGGAAGAAGGCCUUCGGGUUGUAAACCUCUGUCCUUGGUGACGAAACAAAUGACGGUAGCCAAGGAGGAAGCCCCGGCUAACUACGUGCCAGCAGCCGCGGUAAUACGUAGGGGGCGAGCGUUGUCCGGAAUUACUGGGCGUAAAGGGUGCGUAGGUGGCCUUUUAAGUUGGAUGUGAAAUACCCGGGCUUAACUUGGGGGGUGCAUCUAAUACUGGGAGGCUAGAGUGCAGGAGAGGGAAGCGGAAUUCCUAGUGUAGCGGUGAAAUGCGUAGAUAUUAGGAGGAACACCAGUGGCGAAGGCGGCUUUCUGGACUGUAACUGACACUGAGGCACGAAAGCGUGGGGAGC
RNAcentral lists this ribosomal RNA (400 nucleotides) under uncultured bacterium. Its description in RNAcentral is "bacterial SSU rRNA". It matches the Rfam family "Bacterial small subunit ribosomal RNA", at positions 355 to 769 of the family's 1533-position model. The record is from RNAcentral.